AUUGAACGCUGGCGGCAGGCCUAACACAUGCAAGUCGAGCGGUAGAGAGAAGCUUGCUUCUCUUGAGAGCGGCGGACGGGUGAGUAAUGCCUAGGAAUCUGCCUGGUAGUGGGGGCUAACGUUCGGAAACGGACGCUAAUACCGCAUACGUCCUACGGGAGAAAGCCGGGGACCUUCGGGCCUUGCGCUAUCAGAUGAGCCUAGGUCGGAUUAGCUAGUUGGUGGGGUAAUGGCUCACCAAGGCGACGAUCCGUAACUGGUCUGAGAGGAUGAUCAGUCACACUGGAACUGAGACACGGUCCAGACUCCUACGGGAGGCAGCAGUGGGGAAUAUUGGACAAUGGGCGAAAGCCUGAUCCAGCCAUGCCGCGUGUGUGAAGAAGGUCUUCGGAUUGUAAAGCACUUUAAGUUGGGAGGAAGGGCAGUAAAUUAAUACGUUGCUGUUUUGACGUUACCGACAGAAUAAGCACCGGCUAACUCUGUG
Molecule: ribosomal RNA, 484 nt
Filed under: uncultured bacterium
Lineage: Bacteria
Description: partial 16S ribosomal RNA
Rfam family: Bacterial small subunit ribosomal RNA
Source: RNAcentral